RNAcentral lists this ribosomal RNA (1320 nucleotides) under Neoacanthostigma guangxiense. RNAcentral's name for it is "LSU rRNA". It matches the Rfam family "Eukaryotic large subunit ribosomal RNA", at positions 75 to 1680 of the family's 3401-position model. Lineage: Eukaryota; Fungi; Ascomycota; Dothideomycetes; Tubeufiales; Tubeufiaceae. The record is from RNAcentral.
UUGCCUCAGUAACGGCGAGUGAAGCGGCAAUAGCUCAAAUUUGAAAUCUGGCAUCCGCCCGAAUUGUAAUUUGUAGAGGAUGCUUCGGCUUAUGUCUCGGUCUAAGUUCCUUGGAACAGGACGUCACAGAGGGUGAGAAUCCCGUUUGUGGCCGUGACUUCCGCCAUGUGAAGCUCCUUCGACGAGUCGAGUUGUUUGGGAAUGCAGCUCUAAAUGGGAGGUAUGUUUCUUCUAAAGCUAAAUACCGGCCAGAGACCGAUAGCGCACAAGUAGAGUGAUCGAAAGAUGAAAAGCACUUUGGAAAGAGAGUUAAAAAGUACGUGAAAUUGUUGAAAGGGAAGCGCUUGCAACCAGACUUGCUCGUAGUUGCUCAACCGGUCCUCCGGCCGGUGCACUCUUCUACGGUCAGGCCAGCAUCAGUUCGGGUGGUUGGAGAAAGGCCUUGAGAAUGUGGCUCUCUUCGGGGAGUGUUAUAGCUCUUGGUGUCAUACAGCCUGCCUGGACUGAGGUCCGCGCUUCGGCUAGGAUGCUGGCGUAAUGGUUGUAAGCGGCCCGUCUUGAAACACGGACCAAGGAGUCUAACAUCUAUGCGAGUGUUUGGGUGUCAAACCCGUGCGCGUAAUGAAAGUGAACGGAGGUGGGACCAUUUUGUGCACCAUCGACCGAUCCUGAUGUCUUCGGAUGGAUUUGAGUAAGAGCAUAGCUGUUGGGACCCGAAAGAUGGUGAACUAUGCCUGAAUAGGGUGAAGCCAGAGGAAACUCUGGUGGAGGCUCGCAGCGGUUCUGACGUGCAAAUCGAUCGUCAAAUUUGGGUAUAGGGGCGAAAGACUAAUCGAACCAUUGGUUGUUUACGCUACUAGGUGGUUAAGAGGCGGCUCAAAGUGCCGGCCUAGUCCCUCCAUUCGGGGCGACACCGUCAAAUUGCGGGGACGUUCUUAGAGCCUGAACUACCGCGGCCCGCCGAAAGGCUGGGUGCAGCACCAGGGUAAUGACCUAGGGGAUGGUAAUAACGUUCAGGAUUGGAUAAUCCGCAGCCAAGUCCUACGUCGCCGCGGCGUGCGGGGUGAUAUGGAUGCAGUUCACAGACUAGAUGUCGGUGGGUGUGGCCUUUUCCAUGAAAGAAGUGGGGAGGCCAUGCUUAAGGUAUAGUCGAUCCCCCGCGGAGACGCGGGCGGCAGGCCAAAGUUUUCCAGGCGGAUGGGCCCUGAUUGUAGUAGGGCGCUUGGUGAACCCGAAGCCUGUCGGGAGAGGGAUGAUUAGGAGAGGGGGGUGGUAAAAGCAUCAGCAUCCUGUAAAAUGGGGUGCCUGUUCUGUCCCCCC